This 567-nucleotide ribosomal RNA is filed under the name Triticum aestivum (bread wheat). Its description in RNAcentral is "partial small subunit ribosomal RNA". The record is from RNAcentral. Lineage: Eukaryota; Viridiplantae; Streptophyta; Magnoliopsida; Poales; Poaceae.
AUGUGUUGCCAACUAGAAAAGGAGCUGAAACCUUCUUGGCUGCUGAAUUAUUUAUCUGUUGUCCUGAAUUCUUUCUCAACAUUCUCAGGAUAUUUGCCAAGGGUAGAGCAGGUGCCCAGUAUUUUUCUGAAUGUUGUUUGCAGGAUCCGUAUGGUGCCAAUAGAUAUUCUUAUUCCGAGCCAAUCGGUUAAUCCUAUUACCUCUCUCAUGGUUGUCCACUGUUGUGACCUGAUUCCCGUGGAGGAGCACUUCAAUUAUGUGCAAAAUACCGAGUUGCAGUUUUGCUACCCACCCUGUACUUUUGGGCAACCUAUCCUAUUUGUGUCAAUGCACUGGAACAAUUCAUGUCGGAAGGGAUUCAAAAGAAGUGGUCAUACUGCAAUCAGCUUACACAUUGGCAAUGCAUGGCGACGGUGUUCCAAUCUCCUUGAAAAUUGCAUAAGGAUCCUCCGAGGUCAAUUAUGGUGCUUGUGGUCUGUGAGACAGUGCAAUGAAGAUUGUUGUUUCACUAAGCAGCCAUUACAUGAAAGUAAACAGGCUUUCGACACUAUGUGCAUGUUCUAUUAG